This is a non-coding RNA of Chloroflexi bacterium RBG_13_51_36, 117 nucleotides long. NCBI's taxonomy places the organism in Bacteria, Bacillati, Chloroflexota. The record is from Rfam.
CCUGGUGACCUGAGCGGAGUGGUACCACCCGUUCCCAUCCCGAACACGGAAGUGAAACGCUCCAGCGCAGACGAUACUUAAGGGGAAACCUUCCGGGAAAAUAUGUCGUUGCCAGGG